AGUGAACGCUGGCGGUAGGCCUAACACAUGCAAGUCGAACGGCAGCACAGUAGGAGCUUGCUCUUACGGGUGGCGAGUGGCGGACGGGUGAGGAAUACAUCGGAAUCUACUUUUUCGUGGGGGAUAACGUAGGGAAACUUACGCUAAUACCGCAUACGACCUACGGGUGAAAGCAGGGGAUCUUCGGACCUUGCGCGAUUGAAUGAGCCGAUGUCGGAUUAGCUAGUUGGCGGGGUAAAGGCCCACCAAGGCGACGAUCCGUAGCUGGUCUGAGAGGAUGAUCAGCCACACUGGAACUGAGACACGGUCCAGACUCCUACGGGAGGCAGCAGUGGGGAAUAUUGGACAAUGGGCGCAAGCCUGAUCCAGCCAUACCGCGUGGGUGAAGAAGGCCUUCGGGCUGUAAAGCCCUUUUGUUGGGAAAGAAAAGCAGCAGGUUAAUACCCCGCUGUUCUGACGGUACCCAAAGAAUAAGCACCGGCUAACUUCGUG
This 492-nucleotide ribosomal RNA is filed under the name uncultured bacterium. Its description in RNAcentral is "partial 16S ribosomal RNA". It matches the Rfam family "Bacterial small subunit ribosomal RNA", at positions 29 to 507 of the family's 1533-position model. The record is from RNAcentral.